GACGAACGCUGGCGGCGUGCUUAACACAUGCAAGUCGAGCGGUAAGGCCCUUUCGGGGGUACACGAGCGGCGAACGGGUGAGUAACACGUGGGUGACCUGCCCUCAGCUCUGGGAUAAGCCCGGGAAGCUGGGUCUAAUACCGGAUAUGACUCCAUGACGCAUGUUGUGGGGUGGAAAGCCUUGUGCGGCUGAGGAUGGGCCCGCGGCCUAUCAGCUUGUUGGUGGGGUGAUGGCCUACCAAGGCGACGACGGGUAGCCGGCCUGAGAGGGCGACCGGCCACACUGGGACUGAGAUACGGCCCAGACUCCUACGGGAGGCAGCAGUGGGGAAUCUUGCGCAAUGGGCGAAAGCCUGACGCAGCGACGCCGCGUGAGGGAUGACGGCCU
RNAcentral lists this ribosomal RNA (388 nucleotides) under uncultured bacterium. Its description in RNAcentral is "bacterial SSU rRNA". It matches the Rfam family "Bacterial small subunit ribosomal RNA", at positions 28 to 417 of the family's 1533-position model. The record is from RNAcentral.